GACGAACGCUGGCGGCGUGCCUAAUACAUGCAAGUAGAACGCUGAAGAAAGGAGCUUGCUUCUUUUGGAUGAGUUGCGAACGGGUGAGUAACGCGUAGGUAACCUGCCCUGUAGCGGGGGAUAACUAUUGGAAACGAUAGCUAAUACCGCGUAACAGCUUUUGACACAUGUUAGAAGCUUGAAAGAUGCAAUUGCAUCACUACGAGAUGGACCUGCGUUGUAUUAGCUAGUAGGUAGGGUAACGGCCUACCUAGGCGACGAUACAUAGCCGACCUGAGAGGGUGAUCGGCCACACUGGGACUGAGACACGGCCCAGACUCCUACGGGAGGCAGCAGUAGGGAAUUUUCGGCAAUGGGGGCAACCCUGACCGAGCAACGCCGCGUGAGUGAAGAAGGUUUUCGGAUCGUAAAGCUCUGUUGUAAGAGAAGAACGUGUGUGAGAGUGGAAAGUUUCACACAGUGACGGUAA
This 469-nucleotide ribosomal RNA is filed under the name uncultured bacterium. Its description in RNAcentral is "SSU rRNA". It matches the Rfam family "Bacterial small subunit ribosomal RNA", at positions 28 to 478 of the family's 1533-position model. The record is from RNAcentral.